AGGGGUGUGACUCAGUGGUAGAGCCCAUGCUUAGCACACAUGGGGUCCUGGGUCCAAUCCCCAGUAUCUCCA
This 72-nucleotide transfer RNA is filed under the name Camelus bactrianus (Bactrian camel). It matches the Rfam family "tRNA". From Rfam's summary of the family: Transfer RNA (tRNA) molecules are approximately 80 nucleotides in length. Their secondary structure includes four short double-helical elements and three loops (D, anti-codon, and T loops). RNAcentral also lists the same sequence under 2 other names. Lineage: Eukaryota; Metazoa; Chordata; Mammalia; Artiodactyla; Camelidae. The record is from Rfam by way of RNAcentral.